Molecule: unclassified non-coding RNA, 315 nt
Filed under: uncultured Thelephoraceae
Lineage: Eukaryota; Fungi; Basidiomycota; Agaricomycetes; Thelephorales; Thelephoraceae
Description: sequence contains 5.8S rRNA gene
Source: RNAcentral
GAACGCACCUUGCGCCCUUUGGCUAUUCUGAAGGGCAUGCCUGUUUGAGUAUCAUGAACACCUCAACUCCUCAUGGUUUGCCAUGAUGAGCUUGGACUUUGGGGGUCUUGCUGGCCUAUGGUUGGCUCCUCUCAAAUGGAUCAGCUUGCCAGUGUUUGGUGGCAUCACAGGUGUGAUAAUUAUCUACGCUUGUGGUUUUCCACCAUAUAACCUUCAGCAAUGAAGGUUUGCUGGAGCUCACAAAUGUCCCUCCUCAGUGAGGACGGCUUUUUGAACGUUUGAUCUCAAAUCAGGUAGGAUUACCCGCUGAACUUA